UACGUAGGGUGCGAGCGUUAAUCGGAAUUACUGGGCGUAAAGCGUGCGCAGGCGGCUAUCCAAGACAGCUGUGAAAUCCCCGGGCUCAACCUGGGAACUGCGGUUGUGACUGAAUGGCUGGAGUGUGGCAGAGGGGGGUAGAAUUCCACGUGUAGCAGUGAAAUGCGUAGAGAUGUGGAGGAAUACCGAUGGCGAAGGCAGCCCCCUGGGUUAACACUGACGCUCAUGCACGAAAGCGUGGGGAG
This 245-nucleotide ribosomal RNA is filed under the name uncultured bacterium. Its description in RNAcentral is "partial 16S ribosomal RNA". It matches the Rfam family "Bacterial small subunit ribosomal RNA", at positions 524 to 768 of the family's 1533-position model. The record is from RNAcentral.